AUGUGCGCGGCCUCAACACUCGCGCACCGCCACGCCAUUCGCACUUUGCUGGACACCACCGGCGCCUCAAUUGUGUGCUUGCAAGAAACUAAAAUGGAUUUGAUCUACUCGUCUGUUGUUCUUGACAUGCUUGGCUCAGAAUUCUAUGAUUAUACUUAUCUUCCGGCCCAAGGCACACAGGGCGGCAUUUUGCUCCCAUGGAAGAGCAGGGCCAUGUCGAUCACGGAACCAAUGUUCACCAUGAACACGCUCACUGCCAAGGUGGCCACGGCCUCUGGCACGCCAUGGUGGCUCACGGUGGUCUAUGGACCCCAAGAUGACGUGGACAAGGUGGCAUUCAUGAAAGAAUUACGGGAGAUUAGGGCGGAUUGCGCCGGGCCAUGGAUGUUAUGUGGUGACUUCAACCUCAUCCUUCGAGAUGAGGAUAAGAGUACGGGCAACCUGAACAGGCGCAUGAUGGGCAGAUUCCGCCACCUCGUCAACGAUCUCGCGCUUAAGGAGAUUUACCUAAACAGACAGCUCUACACAUGA
This 531-nucleotide ribosomal RNA is filed under the name Triticum aestivum (bread wheat). Its description in RNAcentral is "partial small subunit ribosomal RNA". The record is from RNAcentral. Lineage: Eukaryota; Viridiplantae; Streptophyta; Magnoliopsida; Poales; Poaceae.